This 511-nucleotide ribosomal RNA is filed under the name Salmonella enterica subsp. salamae serovar 58:d:z6. RNAcentral describes it as "partial 23S ribosomal RNA". It matches the Rfam family "Bacterial large subunit ribosomal RNA", at positions 681 to 1190 of the family's 2925-position model. Lineage: Bacteria; Pseudomonadati; Pseudomonadota; Gammaproteobacteria; Enterobacterales; Enterobacteriaceae. The record is from RNAcentral.
GUCUUAACCGGGCGUUAAGUUGCAGGGUAUAGACCCGAAACCCGGUGAUCUAGCCAUGGGCAGGUUGAAGGUUGGGUAACACUAACUGGAGGACCGAACCGACUAAUGUUGAAAAAUUAGCGGAUGACCUGUGGCUGGGGGUGAAAGGCCAAUCAAACCGGGAGAUAGCUGGUUCUCCCCGAAAGCUAUUUAGGUAGCGCCUCGUGAACUCAUCUCCGGGGGUAGAGCACUGUUUCGGCUAGGGGGCCAUCCCGGCUUACCAACCCGAUGCAAACUGCGAAUACCGGAGAAUGUUAUCACGGGAGACACACGGCGGGUGCUAACGUCCGUCGUGAAGAGGGAAACAACCCAGACCGCCAGCUAAGGUCCCAAAGUCAUGGUUAAGUGGGAAACGAUGUGGGAAGGCCCAGACAGCCAGGAUGUUGGCUUAGAAGCAGCCAUCAUUUAAAGAAAGCGUAAUAGCUCACUGGUCGAGUCGGCCUGCGCGGAAGAUGUAACGGGGCUAAACCAU